Molecule: ribosomal RNA, 253 nt
Filed under: uncultured bacterium
Lineage: Bacteria
Description: partial 16S ribosomal RNA
Rfam family: Bacterial small subunit ribosomal RNA
Source: RNAcentral
UACGUAGGGGGCAAGCGUUGUCCGGAUUUAUUGGGCGUAAAGAGCGUGUAGGCGGCCAGACAAGUCUGCUGUGAAAACUCGAGGCUCAACCUCGAGCUGUCGGCGGAAACUGUCUGGCUAGAGUCCGGAAGAGGAGAGUGGAAUUCCACGUGUAGCGGUGAAAUGCGUAGAGAUGUGGAGGAACACCAGUGGCGAAGGCGACUCUUUGGCCUGUAACUGACGCUGAGGCGCGAAAGCGUGGGGAGCAAACAGG